RNAcentral lists this ribosomal RNA (589 nucleotides) under uncultured bacterium. Its description in RNAcentral is "bacterial SSU rRNA". It matches the Rfam family "Bacterial small subunit ribosomal RNA", at positions 93 to 668 of the family's 1533-position model. The record is from RNAcentral.
GAGCGGCGGACGGGUGAGUAACACGUGGGCAACCUGCCCUGAAGCGGGGGAUAACAUUUGGAAACAGGUGCUAAUACCGCAUAACAACGAAAACCACAUGGUUUUCGUUUCAAAGAUGGUUUCGGCUAUCACUUCAGGAUGGGCCCGCGGUGCAUUAGCUUGUUGGUAGGGUAACGGCCUACCAAGGCAAUGAUGCAUAGCCGAGUUGAGAGACUGAUCGGCCACAAUGGAACUGAGACACGGUCCAUACUCCUACGGGAGGCAGCAGUAGGGAAUCUUCCACAAUGGGCGCAAGCCUGAUGGAGCGACACCGCGUGAGUGAAGAAGGGUUUCGGCUCGUAAAGCUCUGUUGUUGAAGAAGAACGUGCGUGAGAGUAACUGUUCACGCAGUGACGGUAUUCAACCAGAAAGUCACGGCUAACUACGUGCCAGCAGCCGCGGUAAUACGUAGGUGGCAAGCGUUAUCCGGAUUUAUUGGGCGUAAAGCGAGCGCAGGCGGUUGCUUAAGUCUGAUGUGAAAGCCUUCGGCUUAACCGAAGAAGUGCAUCGGAAACUGAGCGACUUGAGUGCAUAAGAGGACAGUGGAACU